CCUACGGGAGGCAGCAGUGAGGAAUAUUGGUCAAUGGGCUUACGCCUGAACCAGCCAAGUCGCGUGAGGGAAGACUGCCCUAUGGGUUGUAAACCUCUUUUGUCAGGGAGCAAUUGGCGCUACGUGUAGCGUUAUCUAUAGUACCUGAAGAAAAAGCAUCGGCUAACUCCGUGCCAGCAGCCGGGGUAAUACGGAGGAUGCGAGCGUUCUCCGGGUUUAUUGGGUUUAAAGGGUGCGUAGGCGGAAUGCCAAGUCAGCGGUAAAAUCGGGGGGCUCAACCUCGCUCCGCCGUUGAAACUGGCGGUCUUGAGUGGGCGAGAAGUAGGCGGAAUGCGUGGUGUAGCGGUGAAAUGCAUAGAUAUCACGCAGAACUCCGAUUGCGAAGGCAGCAUACCGGCGCCCAACUGACGCUGAAGCACGAAAGCGUGGGUAUCGAACAGGAUUAGAUACCCGUGUAGUC
RNAcentral lists this ribosomal RNA (460 nucleotides) under uncultured bacterium. RNAcentral's name for it is "partial 16S ribosomal RNA". It matches the Rfam family "Bacterial small subunit ribosomal RNA", at positions 338 to 795 of the family's 1533-position model. The record is from RNAcentral.